UCCCUGGUGGCUCAGUAGGUUAAGAAUCUGCCUGCAAAGCAGGAGAGCCGGGUUCGAUCCCUGGGUUGGGAA
RNAcentral lists this transfer RNA (72 nucleotides) under Ovis aries (sheep). It matches the Rfam family "tRNA". Rfam says of the family: Transfer RNA (tRNA) molecules are approximately 80 nucleotides in length. Their secondary structure includes four short double-helical elements and three loops (D, anti-codon, and T loops). Lineage: Eukaryota; Metazoa; Chordata; Mammalia; Artiodactyla; Bovidae. The record is from Rfam by way of RNAcentral.